CAUAUAACGUGAAGAACCAAAAGCUUCUCUUUCUGAUCAAUCCCUAGUUGUUAGGUUAUGCCGAAAUCCCACUCCUCCACCGCCGAUCCUCCUUGUCCUUCUUUCUUGUAUGCAGGCCUUCUUUUUUCCAAGGAAUCUGUUCCACCCGGGUACCAAGCUGCGGAUCAAUUCCAACUAUCUGCAGCCGAACACGUCAACAAGAAAAAUGACUGAAAUCCGCUCAGUUUCCACAGACGCUCAAAUAGACGAUUAACUCUGGCAUCCCGGAAGCUUAUAGCGCAAAGGCAAACCUUCUUGUCAGCCGGUCGCCAAAGUCGUUGUCUCCAUCGAUCCCCUUCAUACCGAGGAUUCCUCUUCUCCCCAAGUACCCCUCUCUCUCGCUUUCUCGCUCUCUCUAUAUACAUAGCUAUAUAUCCUAUAAAAUUGUAUUCAAUUUUGAUUUUUUAUAUACAUUUUAAAAUAAUUUCUCUAAUUUUCAAAAAUAUUAACUUUCUCACUUCAUUUGAUAGGUAACUAACUCUUGUUGAAAAAUAAGAUAGGUAACUGACUCUUGUUGCUUCUAUUUUCACUUUCUUUACAUCAAGCCUCAUUUCUAAGUUGGGUUUUCAUCUUUUGAAUCAUGCCCUGGUUCUUAUUUUUGAUUGUGUAAAUAUUACUGUAUUAUUUAGAUGCACACUACAAUCUUCCCUUAUUCAUACUACUUCAUAGACAGAAGCGACAAUUCAUUAGGUAAGAAGUCAUCACUCUGUUUUUAUUUUUUAAUUUUUGGGUGUGUGUCUUCAUCUUAUAUUUCUUUAUAAAUUGUAUGAUGCCUUAGAUAUAUUCAGCAAUUCCUUCUUUUUGUACUCGUGACAACAAUUCUAAUCCCCCAACCAGAAACCAAUCUACCACUUAUCAAAAGGAGAACCAAUACCUACCAUUUCCACAAUUGGAGCCCCAAAAGUUUCUGACCCUUCAGUCUUGGAAUUGAAAGAGCACAAGACAAACCCACCACAAUGAAUACAAGACUGACCCAUUGAAGUGGACUGACAGCACCGAGAGUUCUUAUUAUAUAUAUAUAUAUAUAUAUAUAUAUAUAUAUAUCUAUCCUUUCUUUCUUAUUUUUUCCCAAAGAGUUCUUAUUUUAAAUAAUUUUUAAAUUUUAAUUUAAAUCAAUCUUACACUCUAAAUUCUGGAUUUCUUUAUAAAAAAAUCAACUUUAAUUAUAUACCAUGAAAAAAAUAGUAACUUCCUGCAAUAGAGUAUGUUAUUCCGUCGGCUAGUGAAUAAGAAUGAAAUUGAUAUUGCAGUGUCCAAUUCAGUUUUAACUCAAUAAAGCCAGUCACUAUAUUUAUGUUGACAUUGCCUGUUGAAGAGAAUGCAAGACUGAUUUAUAUAGGCCUGUCACUUUUAAAGUUUGCGAUUUCUCACUUGAAAUAUAUAUAUAUAUAUAUAUAAUUCAAUCAGUGUACAUGGUUAAUUAAAUCGGCCUUUCUAAUUGUUGAUUGUUUAAUGGGUUUGUGGAGUAGUGUUUGCAUCAUUAUUAAGUUUAAAUGUUGUGCAGUGUUUUGUUUAUAUAGUUUAAUGGGAUUCAAAACUUUAUAUAUAUAUAUCUAAACUGUUUUGAGAAGAGAAAAUUGCGGGGAAUAAGAGAAUUUUUAGGAAGAAAAUAAGGGUUGAGAUUUGUCUUUGCAUCUGAGCUUAAUCAUGUCCACAACUAGUUAUUUCAUUUUCUAUAUUAUACUUACAAUUCAACAUGUGCAUUAGCAAUUUUAGUUUUGCAUUGUAAAUAGAAUCCAAAAGCAUCGUAUUUAUCUUUUUUUAUUUUUUAUUUUUUAUUUUUUUUAUUAUUAUAGUAUAUUUGGCUCUUUACUAAUUGUUAUGUUCUUAAUAUUUGGGUUUAAAAAAGAAGUUAUUAAUCAAGCUACAUACUGUUGUUUGAAAUUAAGCCUAUACAUUGAUCAGUUUGUUAUUUUUCCCUUUUGUUUUUCCUUGCUUUUUGUUGAUGAUCAAUUUAACCUUUUAUUCCCUAGAGUGAUUAUGAUCUUGAAGUAACUUUUGGGCAAGUGUUUGUGCCUAUCUCAGUCAUUUGUAGACAAAAGUGUAUAAAUGUAUCUUAAUUCUUUUUUAUUAUAGGACCUAACGUUACUAUCAGAUAUCUUGGGUAAAGAUAGACAAGAUGGAAUACAAAACGAUUAAUUUAUUGCAACCUACUAUUUUACCUCAACCCUUCACUCUUCUUCUUCUUCUAUAUUCAAUGUCUAAACAAUCUUCUUCUCUUGAAGAGGUUUUGACACAUAACUACAGGUCCUUUGGGAUCAUUUGAUGCAUGCCAACUAAGUCACAGUGCAACCACUUUAUUAAUACUCCAUGACUGCUAUGAAAUUUAUAUUUAUAUAGAAAAAUAAAGCAUUGAUACAUGGACGACUUUAACUUUUAACAACGCUCGUACUUACAAUGAACUUGGUUUAGGUGAUGAAUCACUUCUACUAGAACUAGUCACUUGGUUUUGAACAAGUCAGCAAGGAGUCAUGGAUAAAGGAUGGAUGCAACUUCUAGACAGGUUGAUAUAAGCUUAAUAUCCUUACCCGUAAAAUUGUAGACGUUAUACUUGCCUGCCAUUUUUUUCAUAAUUAAAAAUUUGAGUUUUCAACUGUAGAGCUUCAAAUGAGUAUACAAUAGGAGCACAACGCUUUGUUGAUUGGGCUCGACGUAAUGCUGGGAAUUGAGUUAGCUUUUUAUGCCCUUGCAACCAUUAUUUAAAUUUUAAAUUCAAUAUAUCAACACUUGAAUAAUAUUUAUGGGCACAUAGUGGAAUACGGAAUGGAAGCUACAUACACCGUAUGGGUCCAUCAUGGAGAUAAUCGGAGUGCAAAUGUACGAAAUGAAGGAAAUGAGCAAGGUGUGGAAAUGCCUGAAACAUAUAAUAUGUUUAGAGAUGCAUAUUUUGAUGGUGAAGAUAACGUUGCUACAGAGCCUACUGAUGGAAGAUGCAUAUUUUGAUUUUCAUUGCCGGAGAUUGUCAAAUUCAUUAUUAUUGCUUUCACCUUUAUAGUGAGAUGGUUAUUGACUUGCCUCCUAUUAUUUUGUCGUUGUAUGCACGUGUUUGAUAUUGUAGAUUUUCGAGCUUGUGCACAAAUAUUUUCAUUAUGUCUGGACAUAUCGGGGUAAGCAUAUGGAUGCAUUCAGUUAAUGUUGUUAUCAUAAUUUCUUUAGUGUUUAUGUUUAAGUGUCACCUGAUUUUAAUGUCUUGUUUUCUUUUAUUAAUGUGCAUGUAUUUGAAAUGAAAUCAUCCAAAAGGGCUAAAAAAAGCCAAGCAAUUGAAUGUCAAGCGAUUGAGGCCUCACUGGAGCGUACAUCGUCAGGACUACGCAUUUUUGAUGUGGAUUCAAACUCUUCACAAACACCUACUUCUCAAGUCCUUAACAAUGAGAACCGAGCAAUAGGCGGUACUAAAAAAAGAGGUAGGGGGCAGUCUACAUUAACUGGUAUUAUAGGUUCAAAAGAUAAGAAGCCUCGUGUAGAGUUUGACGAGUUUGGGGAGACAAUUGGGGAUGUUGGUACAAAGUACAAUUCAACCCUUCCAAUAUUAGCACGUGGGAUGGUGCUCGUAACAAUUGAAAAAUGGAACCAACUGCCAGAAACUUUGCUAAAAAAGCUAUGGGAUGCCGUUCAGUUAUGAUUUGAUGUUGACAAUAGUGCAUCCUAUGACGCAUUUAAAAAGAUGGGAAAUGCCUGGCGCUCCAACAAGUCUGAACUUACAAAAAAGGUGCUGUAGGUGAGAAAUAAUCCACAAAAAAUACAACUCCUGAAGCCCGGAAAUGUACCCACAAUGGAGGAGUGGUUAAGAUUUAUUGAGCAACGUUUAUCAGAAGAUUAUGCUAAGGUUAGAAAGCAGAUGCAAGAAUUGUAGGCUAAAAAUACAACCCCACACACAAUGAGCCGAAAAGGCUAUGCUGGAACGGAGAGAGAAUUG
Molecule: long non-coding RNA, 3955 nt
Organism: Cornus florida
Lineage: Eukaryota; Viridiplantae; Streptophyta; Magnoliopsida; Cornales; Cornaceae
Exons: 3
Source: RefSeq, a predicted model, not a curated record